This 465-nucleotide ribosomal RNA is filed under the name uncultured Rahnella sp. RNAcentral describes it as "bacterial SSU rRNA". It matches the Rfam family "Bacterial small subunit ribosomal RNA", at positions 338 to 795 of the family's 1533-position model. Lineage: Bacteria; Pseudomonadati; Pseudomonadota; Gammaproteobacteria; Enterobacterales; Yersiniaceae. The record is from RNAcentral.
CCUACGGGAGGCUGCAGUGGGGAAUAUUGCACAAUGGGCGCAAGCCUGAUGCAGCCAUGCCGCGUGUGUGAAGAAGGCCUUAGGGUUGUAAAGCACUUUCAGCGAGGAGGAAGGCACCAUACUUAAUACGUGUGGUGAUUGACGUUACUCGCAGAAGAAGCACCGGCUAACUCCGUGCCAGCAGCCGCGGUAAUACGGAGGGUGCAAGCGUUAAUCGGAAUUACUGGGCGUAAAGCGCACGCAGGCGGUUUGGUACAGCAGAUGGGAAGUACUCGUGCUUAACGUGGGAACAGCAUGAGGACCUGGCCAGCGAGCGGCUUGUAGAGGGGGGUAGAAUUCGAGGUGUAGCGGUGAAAUGCGUAGGGAUCUGGAGGAAUACCGGUGGCGAAGGCGGGCCCCUGGACAAAGACGGACACUCGGGUGCGAAAGCGUGGGGAGCAAACAGGAUUAGAUACCCGGGUAGUA